This 248-nucleotide unclassified non-coding RNA is filed under the name uncultured Sordariales. RNAcentral's name for it is "sequence contains 5.8S rRNA gene, ITS2, 28S rRNA gene". The stretch from base 1 to 52 matches the Rfam family "5.8S ribosomal RNA", at positions 103 to 154 of the family's 154-position model. The record is from RNAcentral. Lineage: Eukaryota; Fungi; Ascomycota; Sordariomycetes; Sordariales.
AACGCACAUUGCGCCCGCCAGUAUUCUGGCGGGCAUGCCUGUUCGAGCGUCAUUUCAACCAUCAAGCCCCGGGCUUGUGUUGGGGACCUGCGGCUGCCCGCAGGCCCUGAAAACCAGUGGCGGGCUCGCUGUCACCCCGAGCGUAGUAGCAUACACCUCGCUUAGGGCGUGCCGCGGGCGCCGGCCGUGAAACCCCCCAUUUACCAAAGGUUGACCUCGGAUCAGGUAGGAAGACCCGCUGAACUUAA